AUGUAUCACUCAUACAUUCCGGUUCCUGCGCGCUGUCCUCCCCAGGCUGACGACUGCGCGCGCAGUUUGCUGAGCA
This 76-nucleotide small RNA is filed under the name Parachitinimonas caeni. Its description in RNAcentral is "sX9 sRNA". It matches the Rfam family "Xanthomonas sRNA sX9". Lineage: Bacteria; Pseudomonadati; Pseudomonadota; Betaproteobacteria; Neisseriales; Chitinibacteraceae. The record is from RNAcentral.